This 621-nucleotide ribosomal RNA is filed under the name Triticum aestivum (bread wheat). RNAcentral's name for it is "partial small subunit ribosomal RNA". Lineage: Eukaryota; Viridiplantae; Streptophyta; Magnoliopsida; Poales; Poaceae. The record is from RNAcentral.
AUGGCAACGAGGUCGACAACCACCGUCGUCUUGUACACCAUCGUUUGCAUGCUUCUUUCCGUGGUCGUCGCUGCUCAAGCCAACGACUUUGGCGGUGGCAAACUAAAGGAGACCAACCUCAUGGUGGAAGCGUGCAAGAACGCCUCGAGCUACAGCCUCAACCCAGAUAAUGUUACGCAGGAAUUCUGCUUGUCGACCCUCCAGUCAAACAAUCGGAGCUUCGAAGCUAAGGACCUCAAUAGCCUGGUACUCAUCACCAUCGACAUCCUUAAAGGCCGCAUCACUCCUGCUCGCGGAAAGGUUGAGAAAAUGCUACAAAAUGCCAAGAAGGGCACAGUGACGAUGCGCGCCCUCAGUUUUUGCAAGUUGGACUAUGAUGGCAUGGUGAGAGUCCUAAACAUAUGUGAUGCCAUGAUCAGGGACUACCACGGAGACAACAGCGGACUACCGUCCUUUGAGCUACCUCGUUGUGUGGAGAGGGUGAUGAUCCCGGCCGAGAACUGCGGUUCUGAACUUGACAGAGAUAUGCCAGGGGCGGAGGCUUUGGUCAAUGAAAAUGCUGAGCUGGUCAUGUUGGUCAAUCUCAACUAUGCCUUGCUAGCACAAUAUGAUGAUAAUUAA